This 38317-nucleotide long non-coding RNA is filed under the name Coffea arabica (coffee). RNAcentral describes it as "long non-coding RNA (CARA_LNC007996)". Lineage: Eukaryota; Viridiplantae; Streptophyta; Magnoliopsida; Gentianales; Rubiaceae. The record is from RNAcentral.
CAAAAAUGAAGGGAAGAGAAAAGCAGUGACUAAUAACAGGUGAUCAGUACCACCAAAUAUAGCUUAUUUCAAGCUACAUCUCAAUAAUAUUACAAAAUAUUGAAGUUUUCUAAUAACAUUGUAUGCAGGAAGUGAUAGCAUAGCAACAGUUCUUUCUGCAUUUAUUUCCAGUAUACUAGAAAGAAACCAAAUUACACUGAUAUUCCCUUGUCAAAUCACAUGUUAUAACUUAAAACUAAAAAUGAGUAUAAAGAAAUAACUUGUUGCCGUGCAACGUUAUCUGAGAAAAGGAUGUGAGCUUCUAAUCCACUGAUCACAUAUAUGCCCAUUAGUAAGACGAGAUCAAACCUUCUUUCCAACCUCAAGUGACCCAAUUUCUUUGUGCCAGAGAAUUGAUUUUGCGCCAUUGCUUGUCACCAUUCUGAGAAUUAUUUCAGCAGGAAGAGCAGUAGGAUCAGUAGUUCCUUUAUAAAAGACUUCUCGUCCUUUGUUGAUUAGAGAAGCUAGGUACAUCUCAUCAACUGCACUCCAGUAAAGGGUGAUGUUAUACAUAGAAUAUGAGUUCAGUUAUGCUGACCCUGAAAAAAGAUGAGUAAUUAUGGCACACGUUUAUUAUUGCUUUGUCAGCAAGCCAGUCAUUACUCACUAACAUGCACAACAAAAGAGUAUUCGUUUCUCUUGCAUUUCCAGCAAUACUUCUUUGUUUUGUAAACCUUAAUUUGGUGCAUCAGCAGAAGGACAGGAAACUUUUCACUUUGUAUGUUAUCAGUUGUUCAAUGAAAUUCACUCUCAUGUCUUUCCUUUCUAUCUCUAACUUGAGAAUUUAAAGGACAUUCAAGUUUCAAUUCAUAAUAGCACCUAGUAGAAAUUUUGUAAGCAGUGAUAAAAAUCUGAGUUAGAGAUACUCAUAGUAAUCUAACAAGAAGGAAGUUGUUGUUUGACAAAAGAAAUUUGCUAUAAUCAAAAUGAUUAGAGGAGGAGGAAAAAAACAAAGAAAAAGAAAAGAAGAGAGUAGCAUAAACUCUCUUUAAAUGAUAUAAUAGUAGCAUAAUUCUGUUGAUAAUGCAGAAAUUACCAAUACUCAUCCUGUUAUUUGAUGGUGCACCAUCUGUUCCCAAGGACACACAUACUCCAGCAUCAAGCAUUUCCCUUAUGGGUGCAAAUCCAAGCAUGCGCAUUGCAGCAGCAGGACAAUGUGACACUUUAACACUGGCCUUUGAUAGGGAAGAAAUCUGAAAAAAAAAAUGGAAAUUACCUACCCUACAAGAUUAAUUAAGAAGGAAUGCAAAUGUUUGUAGAUCUAGAGGCUCACAAUCAUUACAAUAUGAUAAUUGAAGUAGUGGACAGCCAUAAUAUGUCUUGAUGAAAGAAGCCAACAACAAUGUCAAAAACCAUUCGUAAGAGCAAAUAAUAAUGAACAUCAAAACAAACACACGUGCCAACCAUAGGAAUAGGAAGCAUACAAUGUCUCAAAUGGUCAUUUCAGGAAAACCGAGUAUUUGCAUCCCUGUGUCAUAGAAGGAGAGAAAAAAGAAAGAAGACAAAAAGGAAAUACUGAAAAAACAUUUAAUCCUAUCUAUAUUGCCCCAACCACCUGAAGUUAUGAAGCAUCCUCACAAACCCUGCUAUAGUCAAGGGCCUACCCAUACCAACAAGAGAAAGCUGGAGAGGGAAAUUUUGACUGCAGAUCACCCUUCAAUAAAAGUAGUAAAUGACCUUAUACUGACAAGACAGUGAAGGAUGACCAACUUAUUUUCAAGAAGAGCAAAUGAAACUGUCCACACUUAUUACCUCGCCUGGGUUUACCCAAACAGUAUGAGCUGCCAGCAAAUUGUCUUCCAGGAACUUGAUUUUUUCAAGAUAUGCAACUGUCCCAUGAUCAACCCCACGAUUGUUUGCCACGUAUUGGUUCUCGUAGGGUAUCUCUGCAACAUGCUAGAUGCAAAAUGGUGAACCCUUAUUUGUCAAAACUCCACAUGCUGUAAAAUUUACACACAGGUCACGAAUAGUAGUAAUUUCCAAGAUGAGAGACCUGUUGUCGAGAAUAGUCAAAACUAAAACGACACUAUGAUGUUUCAUGAAUGUCAGAUCCCAUCUUAGGUUUAUUCCUAGUCCCUCACUCCUAUUUUUCCUCUCUUUCUUAUUUUGUCUUAUUUGACUAAUAUGACAAGAAUUAUCUUCACACUGUCCCAAGAUGGUUAAUUUGUGGUCUUUAUGUUUGCAUAGAUAUGUACGAAACUGAACCUGGAUAAUACACAAUUCAAUGAAGCUACCUGAUAAUAGUAGACAUGCCUCGCCAUACUUCUGGUUUUGUCUAUUUUGCAGUUUUUUAAAUUAUAUUCAUAAAAACAGCAAGUUUGGGCUUAAAUGGUGUAUCCCAAGACUCAGCAAAGUGGAAGCAAAAUUUGCUAGAAAAGAUGAACUUAAAAUUGUUUAAAAGUUUUUCUCCAAAAAAAAAAAAAAACUUGUCAACUAAUUAAACUGGUUUACUCAUUAUCAUCCAUAGAAAGUGGGUAUCUAAGGCUAUUUACUGCACACACCUCAACAUCACUUUUUGCAGGAAAUAUGUCCCGUAAAGCGUAGAACAUAAAAAGCAUACUAUAUGGUAACAGAAUCUUCCUCUUGCAAACUGCCUUUCAAGCACUUAGACAGUUUCCAGGACACUGAGAUCUUAUAUCUCCCUUUCGUUCAGCUAUGCUAACCACAGAAUAUGAAAGAACCUCAAUUGGCAGGUGAAUUCAUGGAGAGAGAGAGAGAGGACAGACCAUAUGGAUUCCAGUUUGAAGUUCUUUAGCUGUGUCUCUUGUUUGUGUAAGUAAUAGAUCAGUGGCAUUCAUGAUCUGCCUUAUUCCAAGCCAUAUUCUGAUGCGUCCAUCUGCAGUAUUAUGGUGCUUCUUAUACAAUUCUUUUUGAGACUGUAUCCUUAAAUAAAAGAGAGAGCUUUAGACCAAUGCAAUGGAUGAAUGGCAAUCAGGAACUACACACAAAAAAAAAAGACAAACAAUUGGUGAGUGAUGGCGGAAAAGAGGAACACGUCUACUGGUGGUGUUCAGAAACUGAAUGAACUAGAUUCAAAAUAUCAGAAGUCCUAUAUGAACGCCCCUCCCAGGCAACUAACCACAACCAAGGAAGCAACAAAACUAAAUGCAAAAAGUACCAGAUUGCUAAAAUGUGGAACAUACGGAUUUCAAAACUUCUACUACAAGUUCAUAUGAAUUCAGUUAACUUGCUGCGAUAAUGUACAGGAGUUUGAACUUUCAAAUCAGCUUGGUGUGAUAAGAAACCAAUAAAAGUGGUUCAGUCCUCUCUUUCCUACUGAUCUUGUAGCGUUCUUACUUAGACUGAAGCUAUUUAAAAGCUAACAAUUUUAAGCAAUUGAAGCAUAAACAAACAAAUCUCUAAAAGCAACCAGUACCAAAAGAUUACCGGAAGUCGUAAAGCAAUUAGCAAGUAGAAAUAGGUAGUAAUGUAGGCAACCUGAAUACAGUGUUGAGUGGUCCGAUUGGCCCAAGCCAUCGGCAAACCCUCGCCACAAUCCAUAAUUGAUUCCGUCAAGCAAGCCCGCAAUCCCAGCAGUUCCACUGCUCUAGCCAUCUCAGAUACAUGCUGCCCUCCCGCCUCAGCGAAGCACGUCACCUUUUUUCCCCCCACCCCAACAAAAUAAAUAAGAACUGGUGGUACAGUAGCGCAUACGAAGUUGAAGAACAAGUUUAAAUUCAAGAAAUGAAAAAGGAAUAGUAGUUAGCGGAGAUGGUCCUGAUACUGACCCCGGAGUGAAUAAGUUCAAUUCCGCAGAGUAAAGUAGAGAUGUAAGAAUCGUGGGGGGUCAUAUUGGACUCAUAGGGCCAAAUACAGUUGUGUAGCCAGGUGAGCAAAGGGACGUCAUCGGCAAUUCCUCUGGCCAGCUGCUGAGAUGUGUGUACGUGGGUGUUUAUGAAGCCAGGUAGAAGGAAUUGGCCCUGGAGGUCCAGGAGCUGCGACGAGGGGAGAGAAGAAAAUUGAGCCAGGAUUUGAGGGGAGUGGCCGAUGGCUAUGAUGGUAUUGUGUUCGAUUACGAUUGCUCCGUCACGGAAAACUCGACUCUGAGGAUCCAUGGUGACGAUCAAUGCAUUGUGGAGUGUGAGUAGCCUGCUGCUGCUGCUGCUGCUAUCUGACUUGGACUCGCCGCCACCGCGCGCCGUUUCCAUUACAAAAGCGUCCAAGUGUUCGUCUUGGACUUCCUCUUUUGAAGUUUGAUCACUCCCAGACUCUAUCGUUUCAAUUUGGUCCCCCCGCUGACUUCACUAAUGUACGUAGACUAGAGUAGCGUAUGUUUCCCGUCUCUUUUUUUUGGUGGAAAUAGGGAUUAAACAUUAAUAAAAUAAGGUUUCGUCCUAUCUAUUACCGUGCAAAAGAGAUAGUGGAAGGAAAACAAAUCCCUUUCAAGUCCUCAUCACAGACAAAAGCAAGUUCUUGAGGACAAUUAGUAAAAGUUACAAAGUCGGAUUAUAAUCUGCCUCCCAUUCUUGCGAGUGUGUCUGCACAUCUGUUCGCCUCUCGGUAUAUGUGGGAUAUCUUAACAUGCCGCAGCUGCGAAAGGAGGAAUCUGCAGUCCGAAAUGAUAGAGUUCAAAUGAUGAUUAGGAUUGGUAGCAGAUUUUAUCAAAGUAACAAUUGUUUUGCAGUCAACUUCAACUUCUAGUUGAGAAAUAUUUAAGGAAAGGGCUAGUUCUAGUUCAUCCUGGAUACCCUAACACUCCAUGGUGGGUGUCAAACCAGCAAAAAUAAAAUUCCUACUCUUAAGUCACGAAUUAAGUCCACUAUGGUACUGGAGCAGGGACUUAGACUGUGCAAUGGGUUACUAGCUUCACCCUGGUGCCAGAGUUUGCUUGAUCCGAUAUACCAAAGUAUAUUAAUUACGUGAAAGACAAAAUUCGAAUAUAGCAGUGAGCAGGGUCGAAUCCACAGGGACUUGGGAAUUUAUUUUGAAUGAAUGUAACAUUAAAUAAAAAUGGGGGGAAUUGAUAUGGAACUGUCUAAUUUAAUUGCUCAAAUUAAAAAUAAGACAAUCGCAGAUAAAAUAAAUAACAAUAAAUAUAAAGUAAAUUAACGGAAGGAAAAUCUCUAGUCAAAGGUAUAAUCUCCACUAAUGGUUCGAAUCACUGAUCACAGAUGCAGAGAUAAAAUCUUUCAUUUACAAAUAAACUGGUUAUGGUUGUCAACAAGCUCUGACAACCUGCCUAACCUUCUUGAUUCGAUAACCACAACAAGCUCUGUAGUUAUUGCCCUAGCCAAUUAAGCAGUCCUAAACACGCUCUUAGGAUUUAACCUAUUGACAGCAUUAAUCAUUAGACUGGCCACCAAUUAUAACCAACAAACACACAUGCUCGGUUUAUUUAGGCUAUAUCAUAUAUUUCCACAACAACAACUCAAAAGUUUCUACUACAAUUGAAUCAUGUCACUUGCCACAUGCACUAAAAUUACCCAACAAUUACGGAUUGAGCACUCUUAGAUGGCUGUUAAUUACUCACACAAUUAAACAGUGAUCAAGUAUUUAAUUGCAAGAAAUAAUCAUAUGCAUAAGUGAACAAGAAAUAUAUAAAUACUUGCAAAUUAAAGAACGUAGGCAAAUGAAUUCGAUCUCACAGUUUUGUCGAACCAAAGUUUCGAUUUAACCUCUGACUAGAUAAACUUAGCCACGCCUCAUGAUUAAAUCACCACACGAAGUAAUGGAUUGCAAAGGCAUUGCGUUUUUACUAGAAAGCAAGGAAUAAAAGAUGUUUUUCCCGUUGGGGAAUAUUGUCGAACACCUGGCGUGUGUCAGAGGCCAGUCAAGAGAAAGGAAACUAGAACUAAACUAAAAAGCUAAACUAGAGGUGUCCUCUUGCUUCUGUACGUCAUCUCCUUAAAAAGCCAAAAGUAAGAUGACUAAAAGCUAUCUCCGGUGGUCCCCACACAUGUGGACAAAGUCUCCAAAAUUACUUCUUCUUCCAAGUCUCUCUACGUUGCUUUCUUUGAAGAGCCCAAAUGACCAAAUAUCUUUCACUAGCUUUGUGGUCCCCCACCAAUUCAAGGGCCCAAGGUUUGAAUCCCUUAGAAGUCUCCAUAUUCUCUAUAAAGUCCCUCCUUUUUGGUAGUUUUCUGCUUCAUUCCCUAUCAAAUGGGAUGCGUGCUUUCUAGUAUCAACUAAGAAACUUGUAUCAAGAUUUUCUUAAUGGAAUUUCCUCAAUUAGGCUUCGAUUUCUCCUUUUCUGCCUCAAUUAACUUGAAGUUCCUAGAAAUCACACAAAAAUUCAAUUAUAAGUAGAAUCUAGCAAAUUAUCACAACAUUUGGUCAAAAUAAAGGGGAAAAUAUUAACAAAUAAACUGGCUAAUUUGCGCAUUAACACUCCACCAGCAUGUUGGUUGAAGAGCCUAAAUUUCUGCAGUAUCCUUUAAUCGAGCCCUAGAGACGUCUUUGAUUAAACCUCCAGAUCCAAUAGGACCUGGAUUUCCUAAAGCUGAUCCGUCUGUGUUGAGCUUGAACCAAUGAAGGAUUUGGGGAAUCCAUCUGAUAAGAAUUUGGGAUUUUUUGCGAGGGGGUCAAGUGGUGUGUUUACUUGAUAAUAAACGGUACCCGUCGGUUCGAACCGAUUUUUCUUAAAUCGUGUAUACUAGGGUUUUCACUUAUAAUUCACUAAUUUAUUAUUAUCACUUCUAAUCACACACUUAAUAUCAUCUAAAACUCACUCUUAAUCACCAAAUUUAGUGCACACAUCUCACUGAGUGAGCACACGGUCAAAAUACGCAAAAAGUCCUAAUUUACCCGAAAGAAGAACCUAAAGGGAAAACCCUUGAUUCUAUGGUGGAUUCUAAUUACUUACUUGAAAGUUGACGGAGUGUCAACUAUUACUUGAUCAAGCUCUAGUGAUGCAAUGAGAAUUUGGCUCCAGAGAGCCAUCCGUAUUCUUAUACUUUGGAAUGAUUAGUACUUAUCGUGUUAUUGUUUCGUUUUUAAAAGAAACCUUUGCACUCGCUCAUUUUGACAUUUACUACUUGAAGUGUUAUUGUUCACUUUUAUGAACUUUUCAUGCUCAUUACUUUGCUACGUAAUACUUGCACGUUUAAAUAAUGGUCAACUUGCUAUUUGAAACAUCACUGGGCUUUUAGCUCAUUCCACGUCAUUUGUUUUCCUUACAGGGGGUACGAGCGAGGCGUGAGACGUGUACAGACUAGUAUAGUCUAGUUGUUUUGAAUUUUGAAUCUGUACUCACGCUAGUACCCGACUAGGGUUGAUUGUACUCGAAUUGUAAACACUUUGAAGUAUCUUGGUGCGUAGAAGUUUUGUAUCUGGAUUUGAGCAUCAAUGUAUAUAUUAAGUUGAAAUGGGUGUGUUAUUUAUUUUCUAUAGAUGUACGUUAUUUUUCUUGAGUUAUGAGUGACCUGGCGAGAGCUGGACAGGCGGUCCGCCGAACCCUUUGGUUCACUUUAGGGGAAGGUGGGACUGUCACAGGGAUGGUUAGAUUUUGGGCCAAGGGAGUAGAAUUCAAUAGCCAACUUAAUGCUGGUUUUUGUUGGUGGAUGUUGUGGUUUGUUGGGCUCAAAAAUCUUCUUAUUCCUAGAGUGCCCCAAGAAAUAUUGUAGUAAGGGGAGGGCGUGGAAAUUUUACAUCCUUCCCUAAGCCAGAUAUGAGAAGGAAUGAGUAUAGUAGAUAGGUAAUAGUUGCGAUUGAGUUCCAUCCAAACAGAUUGGGCGUGGACACAUUUUACGCAAGACGUGAUUAAUAUCCUCUACCUGUCCUGGGCAGAAAGGGCAGAUAUUGUCAGGAAUGAUGUUUCUGUUGUGAACGAGAUGCCUUGUAGCAAGUGUAUCUUGUGAAGCUAACCAGAAGAAAAGUUUGGUUUGAUGAGGCGUGUGAGUAGUCCAAAUCCAAGUGAAAGAUUGGUUUUCCCGUCUAUUUCGUUUGUCAAGUGAAUUUUUUGGAUGUUUAUUUAAAACUUUACUGUAACUUACUGUAGAUGUUUUUUAAAUAAUUUUUGAAUUGUGUUUUUUUUUUUGAAAUAUUUUGAAGUAUAUAGUUUAAAAAUUUUGAAAAGUUUUUUGAGGUUACUGUAACUAAAAUUUUUAAAAAACUUGUAACAGACAAACUUGGUAAAAAACUUGUCUUCCAAACAAGGCCAAAUUUGGCUCUCUCCAUAGUUGAAAAAAAUUCUAGCAUAACAUCUAAUAAAUCCUCAUGGUACGAGCAUACGCGCAACAAGAAGUCUUUUAUUUUUUAUUUUCCAAAAAAAAAAAAAAAAGAUCUGGAAAGACAGGAACAGUCCCAAUAAAUGGGUACGCCAAAGCCAGGCUUGGUGGGAUUGGUACGUUAUUGGUCCUGGUACGCAGUCGUGUUAUGUACAUUACGGGUGCUGGACUAAAUUACCUACUAGUGGUUUAAUCUUCUUCUAGCUAAUUUACAUUGCAAAAUAUCUGCAAGUUAAAAUUCACUGACUAUUCCCAGCUUCCUUUCCUAUUCAGCCAGUUAACGUAGAAAUAGUUAUAAUUGUAGCGGGCCGGCGACCAGCAGCGUCGUCGGGAAGCAAAUUGAUUCAUUUGACAAGAAUUGAUAUCUCACAAAAAGUUGUGUAUGAGAGUAGCGAUCUAUAAGAAAUCCUGUAUAUUAAUAUGACCUAAGGUUUUGAAAGUUUCCCUCAACAUAUAGUUUCGUGGAAAAAAAAAGACUCAUCCCUUUUUUCUAUUAGCUUUUCUUCUCCAUGCUUCAAUUUUUUCAAUAUCUACCGUUGAUAAGAGACGAGACAUAAAAAUUAGUUAAUGAAAACCCAUUAAAACAAAAGUCCCAGGCAAACGGCAAAAAAUAGAAUGAAAAAAUAAACAAAUUUUUAAGAAAAGGGCUUUUUUUUUAAUUUUUAAAAAAAAGGAGAGGAAGAGGAGGGGAAUAAAUGUAAAAACCGAGGUACCUCACCUCCCAUCUCAGCGGACAAAACCCGGUACUUAAAAAGAAGGUGGGGAAUUGUUUUAUUUGUGGUGUUUUCUGUUAUUGCUAGAUAUGAACGGGGUACAUUAAAUUAUUUAUUAAGAUAGCCGGAAGCACCUAUCAUAUCAAACUCAAGAUUAAGAAAGAUUUGUAUAGAUAUUAACGAGGUAAAUAUGUUCCAAACCUCAUAAAAAAGAGCUCUUUGUGACGACCCAUUGGGUAUAGGACCAAAAGGGCAGCUCUAAAAUCUCCCCUAAACCAUGAUCACUCAAGAGGAACUAAAGUAACUAACGACAAUAAUACCUAAAGAUACAAAAAUUUCCUGAACAAAAUAUCUUCCUCAGUUGAUUUCUAGAAAUUUAAGAACAACGUGCGACGUAAAUCAGCAAUAGCAUUUACUUCCACGGGAACAUUUAGAGGCCAACUAUAGACUCACACAACACAUGUGGUUGGAAGUAAAAAGGCCGGAGAAAAUAGCAAAUUCAACUCUUGGGACGUGAACCAAGCGAGGAUUCAAGGCCAGUACCUUGGACAAACGAAACAAAGGCAAAUUAACAAACAUCUAACGUGCACGCACCUGUAGCAUCUGAUCACAAAAAUCGUGUUUGCAUAUGAAAUCUUAUGAUGAAAAUUGAGAGUGGGAAAAUUGUACUAUAAAAGUGUAAUCAACUAACAGAAGAAAGUAGAUUUCCCGUGGCCUCUUUUAAUUUGAUGAAAUUGCUAGAAGAAAUAUUGGUAAGAGUUACGCAGCACUAAAAAGAACAAAAGCACUGCUAAUUUAAUAGUAGCGGUACACAACCGAAACAUGCAACGGCAAAAGCCUGGCGUCAAUAUCCGAAGACCUACUGUUAAAAAUAAAUAAAUACAACCCAUGCGGCGUGCUAAUCAAAAGAGUCUUCAGCCAUCUCAUCCAUGCUGAAAUCGUACAAGGCGCUAGAUUAAAGGAUUAAGAUUUGGACAAAUCUUCCAAUCCAGCCAAAUUAAAAGCAGUAGUAUAAAAACAUGGAUGAAUCUCAGAAUUAAACUAUGAACAAAGCUCAAUCGAUAUGAAAGUUUUGAACUUUAUCAGCAUACCAACGUAAGCUAAUUUAAUGGAGACUGAGAGAGAGAGCAUACAUUACAUUACGCGGUAACUUACAAGUCUGCUGUUGGACCAUAAAUCCCACCAACUAAUGCGACAAACAAAAUCGAGAAUGUUAAUUUAUUUAUUAGCAAGUGUCUUUUGCGUUUGUCUGAUCGAUCUGCAUGUAUGGCCGUCGGUUCUUUGUCCAUUAUCUGGGCAAAGGGCAGGCUAACUUCUCGAGAAUCUACGCAUUCUUUAUUGCAAUUUGCACUGCAGGCGUCAUUUGACAGGCACCCUCAGAAAAGAAUAACAACGAGAUGAUUUGUACAGGGAAUGAUGCCGAUGAUGAUGAUGCUGUCUCGUGGGCUAAUCUCAAUCAUAGACACAUUCUUUAUUUGUUUAAUGUCGUAAUCCUGUACACAAUUAUUUUUUGGUCCCUGAUUGUGAUUGCACAACUAAAUAACAUGCGUUCUGGGGACUUGAGAUUUAUCUCUACAAAACAUGAUUUGCUUCCCUGGAAAAAUAGUUAAUUUAAAAAAUAAAAAAUAAAAAACCAGAAGAAGAAAAUUAGCGCGGCCAAUUGGAGAUGAAGUUCAAGUAAGGUUAUGAGAUGCUCGAUCGAAAUAACUAUUAAUCCUCAAAGAAUUUUGUGUUGCUUCCGCAUGACAAACGAUAAAUAACAGAAGAAGAAAACCAUUACCACCUAUAAUAAAAGACAGAAAAAUACAUAAAGAAAAAGAUCUUUGGCGACAUGGUUAACGCUCAAAGGUACAAGGGAUGAUUUAAUUAGGUCUCUCUACAUGACGCGCAGGAAGUGUCUUUCAAGUGCACGAGAGACCUAACCAAACCAAAGCAAAGCAAAGAGUAUACAGAUUAAACGUCAUUCAAGGCAAGCGAUCUGGGGGAAGGGAGAAGGUGAUAGGAACUGUAGGUCUUGGAAAAGCUGCAUCUUGGAUGAAUCUCAUCGCAGUCCAUUUCCACCAACACCUUGACGAAAUGAUCAACAUCACAAGGAAGUUCGAGAGGGCCAUCAUUAGUGUAACCAUACUCUGAUUCAGCUUCUUCAAGCAACAUCUUGAGAAGAGGAUGGUUUAAACACUCAGUUUUGAUCACGAACCUUUGUUUCUGGGCUCCAACGUACACCGAAAAGCAGCCCUCAGGUGCAACUCGACGGUUUUUAGCACGCUUUGGAUCCGCUUCUCGGGUUGAAGCUGCAGCAGAACCUGUCCACGACUUGCUCUUAAGCUUGGCUGCAUGUCGACGUCUUGAUGACCCAAUACCACCGAAAGACCUGCAUCGCUCCCAAGUCUUGAGGAUGAGGCCCUUCUUUCCCUUCGCCUCAAUCAAAUCCAUUUCUUGAACAACAAGAUCAAUGAUAUUUUGCUGCAAACUGGCUUAACUAGUAGUACAAGAACAAUAUAAGCCUCAGUCCUCAGUCUUAUACUACCCUCUGUCGUAAACCAAAUUAAACAUAACCUUCAUCCUUGGCCUCAUGGUGUUACUCAUGGUCUCAUGAAAACUGGGGCAACUUAGGCUGAAACAUGCACACCAAGUUGAGUGAUCGGCAAAAAGGGAGUUGUAGUUGUACAAGUAAGAAUAUACACUGGGCCACUGGGAUCAACUAUCAAAGAAAGUAACUGGGAGAAAAUUUUAGAUGAAACGAGAAUCACAAGAACUCCAGAAGAUAAUACGAUAAAAAGGGGAAGAAAACAGUAAAGAACCUCACGGGGUAAGCUCUUACUUGCGUUGCGUCUGCUAUAGGUUAACACACACCACUCAGGAUUAUACGUGGUCCUUAUAUAGUAUAGAAUUCACAACCAGAGAUACAAAAAUUAUGAAUGGUUCUUGCAAGUUAUCCUACUUGUCAACUCUUGAAUGACCUCUUCCAUUGAAUUAUUGCCCCUCUUAUUUAUCCUUACAAUGACGCGAAGAGGCCAGCUUCUCUGAAUUAAGAAACUGAGGAAGCGGACAAAUUAAUAGAAGUAUCAGUACCUUUCUAGUUGUAGUUUUCAAAUUUUUUUCCACGUUCAUUUAACUAAUCACAUAGUUAAUAGUGCAACCAGGAACACUACUAGUGCUUACAAUCAAUUAAAGUGAUGGGAAGAUUAAAAUUACCAAUUUGAGCCACCAGCCUAUCCUAUCAUAUCCUAAAUGCUGUCUGGCAAAUUAAGCUGGAAAAUUCCAUUAAUCCUAUGAUGCAAGGGUUGACUAAUUAACAAGUUUGUGGAAGACUUUUAUUCUUUGUAUGUGAUGAUUACCGGAAGGCCAAUACUAAUUAGCCAGGAAAAAGCAAAAAUAACCCUCAACAAAACUAAUAUAUAACUCCACAUACUUAACAUUAAAUUUUUUUUUUCUUAACAGAGAAAGAAUGGAAUUUUAAAAGCAAGGAAGGGGUAAGGAGAUUAGAACCAAAAACAUCGAAGUUCUGCAUAACUAAAAGAAACAGCGAUCGAAUUACAAUUCUUGACGUCAGAGUUGAAGUUUAACGACCAAAUCUUUUUUUUUUUUUCAAUCUUUUAUUCAGUUGCCUUCAUUUUCAUCUCUUUGAUUUUUCUACUAUCAGAUUAUUCUGUUUCAUAUAUUAUCUCGUUAUCCGCAACAAGUGUUUCAAAUAAGGGUUGUAUUGCAUGGACUACAGCUUGCGAAAAGUAAACUCUUAAAAUUGUCAACUACCUGACUCAUACCAUUUAAUUGACCAAAUAUUUUCUCUCUUUCUCUAUCUAUAUGUUUGUUUCCUUUACCCUAAUGUUUUCUCUUGUUUUAAUUUUGGUUGCCAACGGAUUGGCAUUCACUCGCAAGCAUCUUUUCAUAAUUUGUUACCAUGGAAGGAUUGUUAUUCAUCCGUGAUCUGUGCAUGCCCCAGCUGCUGCCACAGUAAAUCUGUAACCAGAGUAUUAAUUACCAGAAACCAGGCUGGUGUCUCCCAGGGCAGGAGUAAGUGAAAGUCUGUGAAUUAUUCUGGUCCAGAGCAUAUUAUUUCCAGCAGCCGAAUGAAGAUAUAGCAUCUAUUUGCGUAAUGAAACAAAAUGCAGUCUGCUUCCAAAUUGACCACAUAGUUUUGACAUUAGAUUCAUUCGUAUUUCCUCCUUUAGUUCUGUGAAAAGACAUUUUAUUUUCUCCUUUAGUUUAUAAAAUAUCAUCAAGCGCCAUCCUAUCCUAGUUUGACAAACAUUGAAAGUUACACUUUUUUUCUACUAACAUCGGUCUCCAAACAGUUCAUGUAUCUUGAUGUUCUAAAGUGCCUUUAGAACUUGCUAUAUCCCACCUAAUCACAUGAUAUUUUACAAACAGGAUUAGAAAUAAUAAUCAAUUAACUUUUUCUUUCCCAUCAUUCAUGGUUGAAUACAAAACCGAUAUUUUAUUUAUGGAUGAACAAUAAUACAAUAAGGUCGAAUUUUUUUAUUUUUAUUUUUUUAGAAAAAGGCAUAUCAGACAUAACAAUAAUGUUAUGUACUACCGUGAAAGUUAAAGGCAAGGCCUGCCUGCCACUAGUAUGAUCUACUUGUUUUACGUGAUAAAAGUGCAUCAUAACCCAAAACCUAGUUAAUCAAAAAAUUUCCCCAUCAACUAUCGCUGGAGAAAAUUAAAUCAGAGAAUUGACACAUAUGAAUUUGACCUAAAUCGAAUUAGGUUGAGGAACUCACCAGCUGCAAUAUGCCACCGAUCAUUGAUGUGUUGACGUUGAUACACAGUACUCCCACAAGUAGAGGUGAUCAGAUCCUGGAACGAAAGACCUGACUUAAUUACACCUCCCCCGCUUGUCACCACUGGAUCAAAUGACCAUUCAUUGGCCGUUGAUAAGAUUGCUUGUCACGGUGAUCGCAAUUAAGAACUGAUUCGAGUAAUUAAUUAGUUACGGUUCAUCUGGAACCAAUUGUAUUGCAAACUAUUACUCUAAACUGAAUGGCUGGUGAUAUUGCAGAGCAAAAAUUAGGAUCCAGACCAAAAUUCUGUUCAUGAGGCAACUUUGCCCUUACUUAAAGUUUUGCAAAUAAAUUUCAAUUUUUUGGGGGUCUCAAAUGAAACUCUCCUAAAUUUUUUAAUUCCUCCUCCUGGUUUCACCAAUUUAUCAAUCAAUCAUCCCUUGUCUAUUCUCUACCCCACAAUGUUUUACCAUCUUCAUUCUCCUUACCCCCAAACAACUAAGCCACUAACACCCCAACUAGCAACUCAAGCACCUAAUCAAAACCCAAAAGAACCUCGUGAUUUGAUUCUUCCUCUCGCACCUACUGGUGACUCUGUCAACAUCCUCCAAUACUGUAGAUCACUUCUGUUUCUUUUCUCAUCUUCUGGAAUUAAAAUCAAUGAUCAUGAAGAAAGAACAAAUAAAUGGGUUUUAGAAGACAUCUAUUUUUUUCCCCCAAGUAUUUAAUCACCCUUUUAUUUGUUGAACUUUUUAUAUUAUUUGGUUGGAAAAAGAGUCAAAGGGGAAGUUUGUCAAUUUCAAUUAGGGAAGAUUAAGCUUUUGUUGAAUUUUUUAGGUGAAACUGGGUUGGAGGUUAAUGUUUGCGGCAAUGAUAGCGGCUUUAUUGUUGUGGUGAUCAUGAUGAUCAAGAAUCUACAAAAUUUUUUUAGUUGGGAACAAGAAAAGGAAAAAAAGGUUUGUCAUGGGUUAUGGAGGAUUUAGUUGAAGUAAUAAUUCUUAAUAUAAAGAAGGGCAAAUUGUCUCAUAAAGUGAAAUUUGCUCUGAUCCUAUUUUUUGCUCUAGGAGUGCAUCUGCCAAACUGAACAUAUAAAUUCGACUCGCAGCUCUUAAUUAGAAGAUUUUUUUUUUUACUUUUAUUUGGGUAAGUUAAAUGUCCCAAAUCCUAUACCUUUUACUUACACUCCUUCCCCAGGAUCACCCAACCUAUCCUUUCCCCCACUCUUAGAGGAUUUUUUUUUUAAGUGUAAAUGAAAGGUCUUGAACACAGGCUUCUCAUUUACACUUUCUUCCCUCUAUACCACUCAAUACAUCCCUCCCCCACUCUUAGAAGAUUUUGAUGCACAAUUCUUAUGAAUUAUAGAUGAUUUAUUUUUAAAGCUGGAUCCUUAAAUUAUUGAACACCAUCUCAAGUUUUCCAGAAUUAUAUGCAGCUUCCCAAACUCUUAUUAUACGUAUCUUUUACCCCUCUCCUUGUUAAUAUCCCGGCGACUCCCCAAAAAAAGGUUAAUAUCAUGGUGAAUAUUACUAGUGUUUUAGGCAUACUCUAUAUGCAUGCUUAAUUUAAAAAAUGCAUAUUUUUGUUUGUGUUGAAAAUUAUAUAUAUAUAUAUAUAGUAUAUUACAAUAGGUAAUUAAAUUAAAAAUAUCUUGGUAGAGGAUGAAAUGGAAGUCUGCGAUUUUAAAACUUUAAAAAAAUUCAUGGAAAGGAUGGAGCGAAGUUUAAAGUUUUAAAAUUCAAGUGAAAUAAUAAUAAAUAUGGGAUCAUACAAAAUAACAACAAUUGUUAGCACUGCAAGCAUGCUCUCCAUUUAUAUAUAUGCAUGUAGUAUAGAUUUACAGUCUUAUAAAUAUGAUUAAUUUUUGUUACACUGACAAUAUAAAAAAGCUUACUCUAAAUAGGACAAAAGAAAUUAUGUGACAUAAUCGAAACCUACUAGUAUAGAACAAGUUGUAUACUGAAAAUGUAUAAAAGGCUUACUCAAAUUGAUAAAGAUACCCUCAUUCAUUACCAGGCUAACGAUACUACUCUCCUUCCAGUUCCUAACUUCUCGUACUCCUUGGUAGCCAUCGACUUUCUCAACCAGUCCCUCUUGUAAAAAUCUAUACGAAAUUUCUAAAUCUCUGAACAACCAAAAUUUUCCUCACCUUACUUUACUUUCUUUCCUUUUUUAUUGAUGCCCUUACAACCAUAAGGGUUUUGAAGCUCACUUGUCACGUGACAAUCUUUUUAUCUUUUCCAUUCUUUCUAUGUUUACAGCCAAAAAUCAAAUAUAUGUGAGACUAAAUGUAUUACAAAUGGGUCAUUCUAUUGCAAAAGUUUAAUGCUUAAGGAAGUUUUGCCCGUCGGAUUUCUCGAUCCUCUUCCGCCUGAAGAACGUCUUGCCAUGCAACAACAACAAGAAGCUGCUGCUGCCCCAACUAGUCAUCAUCAUCAUCCUCAUAAUGGGCGCCGUACUGUUUAUCCUUUGAUGUCUCCUCUUGAUCAUCCGGCGAAGGAGGAGCCAUUGGCUUUGGUGCACGUGGAUGAUGAUCACAACAAGGCUUCCAUUGUUGGUCCCGUAUUUCGGAAUGAAAGGAGGACCAGUAGUUGCGUUAAGCAGUUUUGGAAAGCUGGUGAUUGUUAUGAUGCCAACAUUUCUGCUUCAGAAACCUGUACCAUACUACUUAAUAACUAAUAAUGGAUGGAAGUUUUGGAUGUAUUUCCUAUUGGCUUUUCAUUCAUUUGAUAAGAAUUCACAUCUUAAGAGUUACAAACAAGAUUUACUCACCUCUAAUUAAGAGUAGUGAACCAGAUUAACUGAAGGACGAAUGAGGGCGUUGGACCGGGCUUAGUUUAAAUUGUUAAAUUUCAGUUUUCUUUUUGUACAUUCCCUGUAGCCAUUCUGACAAAUUUAGUGUCCUCUAAUUUAAAACAGCACUAACGACCAUAUAGUUACCUGUGAAAGGGAUUUAUUGGAGCAGCUAUGGGUAACCUCUAGUACUGCAGACGUCAAGAGCUUUCUUCAUUUACUUUUGUCCUUCCGGUUAGACAUUUACAGCAUUUUUUUCGGUAGGUUAAAUUUCAAGUCUCUUUCAGACAGAAAUACUUUUACAGCUAAAAAACUUUGAUUAUAGAACUAAAUGAAUUCAAUGGCUAAUACAUCUAUGGCGAAGUCUAUCUGUUUAUGUGCUUCUAAGCUGCAAGCUUUGCAGUAUGAAAAAGAUAGAAACAAGUCACUGGAAAACAAAUCAAGUCUUUAAUUUGAAAUAUGAUUUUGCUGGAUAAGACAGGAUGUUUGUAGUUGAGCAAGGGGCAUCAUGAAGGAAUUCUCAAAGAGAAUCAUCUGUGGGUACUGUGCUUGUUAAUAUGUUAUUAGAAACUUGAGGAAACAAUUAUGGAAAAGCUUGAAGCUUCCUAGAGACCUGUCUACAACUGUCAUUUGAGCAUUUUUGUGUGAUUGAAACAACUAUUGAACUUUUCUAUUUAGAUUCAGGAGGUGGCGCAAAAGCUUAAAGAAAUAAAUAGAGAGACUGAAGAAGAAAUGGGUAAACGAGAUUUAAGAGAAGAGGCUUUGAGGAACAAAGCAAUGGUGUGUACAACUAUUAUUUUCUUCUUGGUACUUUGAUGUUUUUGUUCUUUCUCAGCUUCCGUGUUAGGUAGCCUGUAGAUUGUGUAUGAAACUUUAAUUUCUCCGUUGCAGGUUGCUGCUGACGUCAUUGAGGAGUUACGCAAUAAAAUAAAUCUUUUAGAAAGAACGAGAGCAGUUUUUUUAUUCAAUCAGACCGCCAGCUGAAUGAUGGAGUUUUUUUUUUUUUUUUUUCUCAUACACUAAUUAUUAAGUCUGCAGCUUAAGCGUAACAAAUACUAGCAAAAAGCCUAGAGAUUUAUUGUGUGGAAAGAAGCUGAAAAGGCACAGACCGGAGUUCAAAAAUUAGGGUCAUGGGUAAUCUAGGACCAGUUUGUUCCAUUCGUUUGAACCUAGUCAUAGACCUUUGUCACAAGUUACGAACUCUACUUGUAGAAGUAUGAAUGAGAGAAGAUUGAGAGUUUUCUGGUGUCGUCUCUUUAUCUAGAAUUAAGCUAUAAAGUGUUCUCAUUUUAGUCAGAAAUUAAGCUAUAAAUAUUUUUACAAGAUAAAAGCUCGCGUACUCAUCAGUAAAUUACAAAAGCUCGUGUAGUCAUCAUUCAACAGCAAUCAUGCUGAAUGUUGCCCAUGGUACAGUACACAUUCCUCUCAACUGUGCUGUGCCAGAUGUAAUUGUUUCAGUGCAGUAUGUUGCACACGCAUUCGGCUGUAUCGUAUAUGACUACUUGCAUAGUAAUGGGUGUGGCAUGAUCUUGAAUUAUUCAAUCAGAGAAGGUUUUCUGUAAGUUUGAUUUGGAAAAUUCCGAAUGACAGUUGUUCCAGUUAGUACAUAAACCUUUUUUAAAAAAAAAAACCCAUGCAGUCAAUUUAUUUUAUCAUUUCGCCAAUUUCUUGAACUCAUGAAGCAAUCUAUAUUUUACUAUGAUUACCCGACACAAGUCGACACCUGUUUUCUUUUAUAGUAAAGCCGUAGAUAAGCGGAGGUGAGGUGAGAUUUUAUAGCUGGUAUCUAGGGGUGCUGUUCUUGUGGGGUUGUGGGAGGAGAUGGACGAUGGUACGGUAUCCAGGUUCUUGGGUCUCCAAGAUUAAAUUUUGGUGGUACUGGUGGUGGGGGAGGAGGAAAUCGAGGAUAAUUAGGUAUCCAAGUUCUAGGAUCUCCAGGAUAAGAUGCAGGUGGAGGAAGCAGGGGAGGUGCUUGAGGGAAGGGAGGAAGAGGAGGGAAUGUGAAGGACGGUGGUGAUGGAGGAGGUCUAGGAUAUGGUACUUGAGGGAAAGGCCACGAUGGAAACGGAGGUAAAUAUGGUAAUGGCGGCAGGGGAGGAAGAGAUGGUAAUGGUGGCAGGGGAGGGAAGGGGAAUGACGGAAAUGGGGGCAAUUGAGGCAAAGGUGGAAACUGGGGCAAAGGGGGCCAUGGAAUGCUCCCAUAGUAGGGAGGAAAAUAAGGCAAGAAAAACUUGGAGGAAUUGAAAGAGUAUGGCAAUCUCAUCUUUUUAUUCCCACAUAAGGUGACAUUCCUUGUAAAUGGCCUAUAACUGAGAGCACUCAGGCUGUAUAUACAUUGAUUGUUCUGUUUUGAUUUGAUUGUGAUCUCAUUAGUUGUUCUCCUAAGCCCCGGAGCGCUGCAAGCCGGAGAUAAACUCCCUUUCAAGCUUGCUUCACAGAAUGAUUGAAUAUCCGGGUGUCCAGUGCAGUCAAUUCCCUCCACGGAUGGUAUGUCCAGGUUGUAAAUUCCAUGUCUAUUCGUAGUUCUGUUGACUGAGAAGGUUAUCUGUUCGGUUGUUCCGGGCGAGAUUGCUCUGAAUUUGCACUGAAUAUGCACUUGGGCACCUAACAAAAUGUAAUCGGGGUGUAAAAAUUAGAAUCACAACUUUCCAGAGGGCAAAGGGCAAGAUUAGACUCUCUAUAUUCGACGAGUUGUUUGUUUAAAACUUUAAUUUGAGGAGUAAAAUAGCUUACCUGGCAAGAAGUAGCUGCGCCGUGAGAAAGUGUUAUCGUAACAUGCAUCACAGAAAACUGAACCUUGUACGGUGAUAUGGGAGGUGGGCUGUAGGGGUUGAGCUAGCAGGACAAGGGGAGGCUGGACGCAUAAAGUUGCAAGAAGAAGAAGGAGAAGAAAGAGAAACAUUUUGUCAUCCACGGAAGCAAACAUGGUAGCAAAUGGCAUGUUGGGAACAGAAGCUUCUAUUGAUCAUUUCUCGUAAUGGCUGCUUGGUAGUACUUGUAGCCCAUCAAAACCAUCUGAAUCAUUUUCAAUAUACAUUAUACCAAAAAAAAAGGAAGAAGAAGAAAGAAAUUUCUGUAUGCAUAUAAUUGAGCCCGUGAAUAGUUUGGCGGGAGGACCAACUGUGUAUUUUAAUUCCAAGUUGGAAACAGUUUAGGGCGUACGUUUAUGAUUUAACAAUGCAAACCAACGCAUGUGAACUGAUUGAAGUAACCUUCUGGCGGAUGGUGGGGAUUGUAAGGCUAGAAUCAUGAGAAGCAUAGAAGAGCAUGAAUAAUAUUCACGGGCCGUAUGGAGGAUGGCACGAUGGGAGGGAGGGAUCUCAGUUGUGGGUCGCAAGGAUGAAGCAGAAGAAGGUUAAAUUCCCAGCUGUCGAUGAUCGAAACAUGUGUCAAGUCAACAUAUGCUUUUAUGAAGACAUAUCUCCUGAUCAGAUCAGUUGCCUGUAUUUUGUACUUCACAGUCACGGGUUGCCAUCACGAAGCAUUUACACUCCUUAUAACACUUGCUGAGGGAAUGAUAAAGGAAAACUCUGAAGACGCGAUGAAAAGUAAAAAGUGUUUGUAGUCAAGAAUAAUAAUAAUAAUAUUGUCUUGUUUCGAUUGUUUUGUUGUCUCGUAAACCUUGCGAAGCAUGCCAUGCCAUGCCAAAAUAUGAAUCAUUAUUUUACUGAGAAAUUUCUAAUUUUGUGAUGAAAUUUAAAAAAAUUCUACAAAAGGGGUGAUUUUGGCAAUGAAUUCCGUCCGGGGGUCUUCGCAUUCGUGAAAUGCGAGCUCAGUAGAGCUCGCAUUCGCGAAAUGCGAGCUCUACUUAUUGAGCUCGCAUUCCGCAAAUGCGAGCUCUAAUAAGUGCAUGCACGUAUUUUUUUUAUUUUUUUUUUGGUAUUUUACUUCCUUGCCUUAAGUUGCCUGCAGAUGUUUGUUUUACAAAUAUAUGGUAUACUAAAUAUAUAGUAUGCACAUUAAUUUCUUUGGAUUGCUUAAGGGUAUAUUGUUAAUAAUAGGGGGUUUAACCAUAAAUUAUAACAAUUAUGAAGUAAUAUAUAUUAGAAAAUUAACACAAUUAUGAAUUUUUUUUUUGUAAAAUUCAAAUUUAAUUACUAAGAAAUGAAAUAGGCAGUAAGCAUUUACAAACGGAAAACAAAAUCCUACAACAACUCUAGGACUCUACACCUUAUUAAAAAAAAAAACCAGUUCUCUAUACCUCAGAGAAGCUAAACAAUCCUACAAAUAAACUGCAAAAUAAAUCACAAUAACGCAAAUUAUGUUAAGCUAAUAAAUACUGCUGUGCAACAAAAUUUUUGUCUUUGUCCCGCGUGAAACUACAAAGUCAAGAAAUCUGCCUAAACAUUUUGUUAGCAUUUUUCCAAAAGCAGAAGAUCAUAUGCCGCAGGUUAUACAAGCUCCAAAAACCGACUCCUUUGUAGAAUUCCUUUUUUUCCAUCAUAAACUAAGAAUUCACCCCUGCCUGCUGUCAUACCACAUAUGCCGCGACAAAUUUCUAAUUUUGUGAUGAAUUUUAAAAAAAUUCUACAAAAGGGGUGAUUGUGGCGAGCUAAUCACAUUCUUAUUUUGCUCAACAGAGAUGCAUCAAUUUUUUUGCUAAUUUUUUUUCGGAGGCAGAGAUUUAUAUUUUUGUAUUAAAACAAAAUGUUUAAAGAUGUCGCAUGCGCGUUCCCAUUCCUUAAAAAAAAAAAAAAAUUUCUUCGGAGGUCUGCUAUUGAGCUCGCAUUCGCGAAAUGCGAGCUCAAUAAGUUGAGCUCGCAUUUAAAGACACUAAGUAUAAUGUAAUUUUUUUUGCUUUUUUUUGGGAGCUAGAGAAUUUUUUCAAGAAAAUAGUAAGAGCUAAAUGCGAGGUCCUAAAUGUUUUUUUUUUUAAAUUUUUCAAAUAUCUCGCAUUUGAUAAAUUUGACCUCCAAAAAUUGUAUUUAAUUUUUGUGUUAGAUUUCGCAUUUAUAAGUAUGGCUUUCAGAAAAAUAAAUUCAAACUUGGUAGAAAAAAAAUUGAAAAUGAAAUUUACGAGCUCAAAAAAAAUGUACAAUUAAAUGUAAAUGUUGUUUGUUUUGUAGAAUUUGCCUUUACUAAAAUGCUAUCGGUAGUAAAAUCUUAUUUUAAAAUCUCAACUAAAAUCUUAUAUUUUGGAGAAAUGUUAGAGAAAUUUUAUUUAAAAAUCUGUAAUUAGAAGAGGAAUAAAAUUUUUUUAUUUUAAAACUUGCACGUGCCUAAAGUCAUCAAAUAUGUGCUCUAAAGAAAAAUCAUAUUCACAACAAUCUUUUUAAUAUAAUUUACUAUACAUGCAUAUUUCUUUUAUAUUAAAAAAAAUUGGUAAUUUUACGGUUGAAAAUACGUUAUUUUAUUAUAAUACAUUUAAAUGGUGGAAAAAGAACACAUGCAUCGUUCUUUCUAUUUCAUAGAUCAAUGUAAAAAUAGAAUGAAAUUAUUAACAUGUAAGGUGUUGACUAUAUUUUAUGAAUAAAAUACUAACUUUUGAUCUUUUUUUCUGAAAUAAAUUUAUUUAUCAAAUUCUAAUUUUCCUUUGUUAUUAAUGAAUCGUAUUUAUUUUGUUGACACCGAUGAAUAUUAGUUAUAAGAAUCUAAUAAUUAAUAGUCAUUAAUAUCUGUUACAAUUUUUUUAUUGUAAUUUUAGAAAUUCCAUAACGCAAUGCUAUUUAAAAAAAUUAUAUAAGUUAUUUUUAUGAAGUGCAUGUUAUUUGUUUGGUAGUUGAAAAGGAAAAGAAAAAAAUUAAAUCAAAUAUCUAGCGAUUAAAUCUUGCGUGUUUUACCUUUUACAAUUGAUGCGAAUGUAGAUAUUUUUAGAUGAAGAUCACCGGUUACUGAACAUUUCACAUACUGAAGUUGCUUUUCAUACUCUUAAUUUAAGUAUCGUUUUACGCGAAAGUCGACAUUUGUAGAUGAAGACUCCCGGUUACUAAGUACAAAAACAUUUGGAGUAGAAUAACCCUUUUUUGUUUUGGUGUAUAUAUAAUAAAAUUCCCUCUAAGAAUAAUCAUGAGAAAAGUAUGACACUUAUUGACCAUAUUAAUUUCUUAACUUAUAAAAUCAGAGAAAAAGAAGAAUUUUCAUCAAAUGUGCAAAAUGUAGUCAUAAAUUUGUCCACUUUACUAGAUAUACUUUCCUAUAGAUGUAAAAAUUAUAAUCACAUAAAAAUCAUUUCCCAAAUUCAAUGAGAAAAGAAGUUUCAAAACUAUAUAUAUUUAUUUCAAAAGGAUAAGUGAAAAAAAUUUAUUUAUUUAUUAUGGUUAAUAACAUAUAUAUGUAUAAGGUUUUGGAAAAAUUUUGGCAAAGUCUCCCCUUAAAAGUGGACUAAAACUCCCUGCCACCAACCACAAGAAAUACAAUUUCAGCACAACAAUUAUAUGAAACACAACUAAAACCACAAGUACCACACAUAUUUCUCCCCCCACACUUAAAUUACACAUUGUCCUCAAUGUGUAGGGAAGAAAUGAAACAAAAGAAGAAAAGAAAAGAAAGAAGUUUUCCCCAAGUCAAUGGCUGAGAUCCUUAUCAGCCACUAUUCACGAACCACUGUCAAAAUACAAGUGCCUACCAAAUAAAAAACAGAAAAAAUAAAAUGAAGUUAAACAUCUUAAGUUCCACAAGUUAAGAUAAUUAGGCAAGCAAAUCCACCAACUAAAGAUAGCUUCUGUAGUGCGCCAUGUCAAUCAUCCCCCUCGGCAUCAUCGUCAUCCUCUGCAUCACGAUUGGUUGGUGGAUGAAUGCCCAAAUGAUCUUCAAUUCGGCUUAGACGAUUCCUAACGUCAGCAAACUGGAAUGCAAAGUCUUCGAUAUGGUCAAAGAGUCGCUGCCAAUUAGUCUGCGGUGGAGGAGGAGGUGGUGCUGCAGUAGAUGGUCCAGCUUCAUCCCGACCAUGUCUAGCCUUCUGUCUCCGCUCCUGAACAGGGCGUGGAAUGCCAAUACCAAGGCGGCGAAGAGUAGUGAUAGUCAUCUCAGCCCGUGGUGGAACAAUCUCCCCUAUAAAUGGGCUAAAACUCCCUGUCCAACAAACCUAAUUACUGUCAUUUUAAAUUGCACAAGACGUAUUAAAGUACUUUAAAUCCAUCAAUUCACCUUCAAAUAAAUCCAUUUAAUUUCAUUAACGCCUUCGUGGUUUUGAAAAGCUUUAACAAACUAUACUAUUUCAUUGUUUGGACGUCCAUAAAAUGUAGUUGUUAACUAAAACUUAAUACCGAAUGACAACUAUGACCCGCCUACAAAUUGCAAAAGAGAGUUGAUUGACAUGCGAAUUGGAAGAAUAUGUUUCAUUUUUUGGGCUCCACAUCCAUAUAGCUAUACAAGAUUUAUGUUCAUAUACGUGUGCUAUUUUCAUCAUCAACAGAAUAAGAUUUUUUUGGCUAUAUCCAAAGGCCACUUGACAGCAUUAUCCGUUAUUUCCCUAACCUCGACAUGCAUAUACUGUAAAUAUAGACUACAAUAUUAGAUAUAACUUUAAAUCCAUCGAUUCGACUUAAAAUAAAUCCGUUAACGUGUUCUAACGCCCUCUUCUACAUCCAGAAGGUUGCCCUCACAAAGAACACUCUACAAAAAAUUCGACAGAGUCUCCCCUAUAAAUGGGCUAAAACUCCAUGUCAAACAAUCCAAAUAUCCAUGAAAUUCAAAAGCUCCAAUCUAUAAACUACAUACUGUCAAUAAAAUUUCUAAACUCCAAUUGCAAAACAUACAAUGUCCAAUGUAGAUAGUGAUUCGACCAAAAAUAACAGCUGCGAAAUAGAUUUUAAAAACAAAAACUGAAAAGUAGGCACUUGCCACCCAAAUUUGGUACAUAACCCUUGCCCCCACAUUGAGUAUUAUAGACUUUGUCUACUAUGUGCUUAGCAUUUUAGACAAUUAUUUUGUACAUUAAAAUAGUCAGAGAUGAUUAAUUAUUAUCAUUUUAAAUUACACAAGACAUAUUAAAGUACUAAUUAUUGUAAUUAUUAUCAUUUCAAAUUAUACAGCGCGUAUUAAAGUACUAAUUAUUGUAAAUGGCUUUUAUAACUACAUUAGUGAAAAAUAAGUAUUUGUCAAAUAUAUUUAUAUACACUUGUUAAAGUACGACAAUAGUGUCUAAAUGUAUAUAAAAAAUAAUUAAAUGGCAUGCUAAGACUGUUAAAGCAAUGGAAAUGCAUCCAACACAACUUCAAAAAACGCGCAUCAAAUUUUAGGUCACGCUAACAUAUAUUGUAAUUUUAGCAAAAUUUAUUUUUCCAUUUUAGUUCAAGGCCCUUAUUUUUCUAAAAUCUUCUCUACGAACACAACUCUAAUGUACGAUUUACCCAUAGCUGUCCUAGAGAAAUUCGUUUCUCAUUUGCAUCUCAUGUUUAAUUCCCUUAAUUAGAAUCCAUUUUCUAUUUUAAAUGGAACUUGCCCCUUUUUUCCUUUUUUUUUGUUUUAUCUUCUUCAACACAAAAAAAUAGACUUUUUUUAAAACGUUAUUUCAAGUUCGUCCAAUGUUAGAAUAUUUAGUCAUUUCCUAUGCCUUAUCGGAAAAAAAAAAUGAACAACAACCCGUUCGUAGUACCACUACCUCUCUAUCCGCCGUAAACAAUAAAAUGAGACUAGCACCACUUUUCUUUUUAGAGUUACAUGUACAGAAAAGAAAUUAAUCCUAAAUUUCAUUCUAAUUUUAAAAAAAUUUUAAAAAAUAGUUGAAACAAUUAAAUGAACUUUUUCCUUAAAAGGGGUUUUAGCUUUAAACUAUUUUGCAAUAUUUGUCAAAAAACUAUUUCCUUCUUUUUCCAGCUCCACUGUCCACACGGGCACAAUUACCGUAACUACAACAAAUUGGAAACAGAAAAAUUGCAACAAUUCGAACAAUGUAACGUAAAUCCUCAAAUCCACCACAAAAAUUACAAAAAUAAGCACAACCUACAUCAAAUUUAAACCCAAAUUUCACAACAAAUCUGAACUUCCCUUUGGAUUCAAGUAUUCAAAUAUUAAUUAAACUUAAAAUGUGAAGCAUUGCAAAUGGAAAGGGCUCACCUUUAUGCUGUUUGGCACUUGAAGUGGGACGGCAAUGCUGGCAAAUGUUGGGUCGGCAAUGGGGCGGCAGUGGGUGGGCAAAGUCGCAAAUGGGUCGCCAAUCAGUGGGUGUAGAAGCCCGUCUAUGGCUGCAAUCUGGAUGGCUUGCUUCAGCGAGGCAGAAACUUCAGAUUUGCGUGGCUUCCGGCGGAGCAGAACAACAGAGAUGGUGGCGCCGCUCCUCCAAUUUCUGCCGUCCGGCGUUAAUAGCAGCACAAAACAGGACACAUGGUGGCCAGCUCUUUGGAUGCUUCGAUGUGCAGAACCCAGCUCAGUUUUUUUCAAUUGCGAGGCAGCUAUGGCAGGAGUUUGCUGGCCGGCUCGGUUUUCUUUGUUUUGCUGUGAAAUAAUCCAAGAAAUGCGUUCUGCAAUUGUCUUGACUGAGUCAAAAGUCUUGUGGUCACUGAGCUCGCAUUUCCGAAAUGCGAGCUCGAUGAGCUCGCAUUCCGGAAAUGCGAACACCCUAUUUCAAGAACACUACCCAAAAAACGCCCCACUUGUAGAACACUUUUUUUUUUUCGCCAUAAAGUAAGAAUUCUCCCUUAUUUUACUACUACAAUACUAAAAAGCCAAUAGGAGGAUGGAUACUCGUACUCUGGGUGGACUACACCUAAAAUUUAGCCGAUUCGAUGCAUGAGUUUUAGCCAACAUGAUUGAUGCAAUAAUUCAUGCAAAUGAUCAACUUUUACUGCAUGCAAUAGUUUUGGAAGACGAUGGGCAUCUCCGGAUUGUCAUUUCAUCCGCAAGCACUCUUCACUCUUCAGUACUCUCUGACUCUGGGUUGAGUUUAUCUUAACACUGCGUGGCCUCAGCAUCUUUUCUUGGCUACGAUAAGUCAUUUGGUUAUCUCAACUGUUUCUAAGUUGCUUCUUCUGUAAUCCAUAACUGGGGAGGGGAAUAUCGAUCACUCGCUGCUAAGGGUUGGGUGAAUUCUUAGUUUGUGAUGAAAAAAAAAAGAAUUCUACAACGAGGGCGUUUCCUGGAGGGGUUUCUGUAAAUGGGGGGUCUUCGCAUUUUGAGAAUGCGAGCUCAAUUGGAGCUCGCAUUUCGGAAAUGCGAGCUCAGUGAGCUCGCAUUUUCAGAAUGCGAGCUCACUGAGCUCCCACUACCCAGCGCCAAGACCCCAUUUCAAUUUCAGUAUGUCAAAUGUUGUGUAACCGGUGAUUUUUAUCUAAAAAUAUCUACAUUCGCAUCAAUUGUAAAAGGUAAAACACGCAAGAUUUAAUCGCUAGAUAUUUGAUUUCUUUUCCUUUUCAACUACCAAACAAAUAACAUGCACCUCAUAAAAAUAACUUAUAUAAUUUUUAAUUAGCAUUGCGUUAUGGAAUUUCUAAAAUUACAAUAAAAAAAUUGUAACAGAUAUUAAUGACUAUUAAUUAUUAGAUUCUUAUAACUAAUAUUCAUCGUUGUCAACAAAUAAAUACGAUUCAUUAAUAACAAAGGAAAAUUAGAAUUUGAUAAAUAAACUUAUUUCACAAAAAAGGAUCAAAAGUUAGUAUUUUAUUCAUAAAAUAUAGUCAACACCUUACAUGUUAAUAAUUUCAUUCUAUUUUUACAUUGAUCUAAUUUAUUUCCACCAUUUAAAUGUAUUAUAAUAAAAUAACGUAUUUCAUAAAUUUUUUUUAAGGAAUGCAAACGCACAUGUGACAUCUUAAAACAUUUUGUUUUAGUACAAAAAUAUAAAUCUCUGCCUCCAAAAAAAAAAAAGAAAAAAAAUUUGCAUCUCUGUAAUGCGAGCAACAGAGCUCGCAUUUCAGGAAUGCGAGCUCUGUUGAGAGCUCGCAUUCGUGAAAUGCGAACUCUCCUGAGCUCGCAUUUCACGAAUGCGAAGACCCCCCGACAGAAUUCCUCGCCACAAUCACCCCUUUUGUAGAAUUUUUUUAAAAUCCAUCACAAACUUAGAAAUUUCUCCGUCAUUCUGAGAUCAAUUUCGAAGGCAAACAAGGCGCGCGGCAAAUCUUCUUGAUAGAUAACAAAUCGCUUUGGCUCUUUCCUUUUUUCGACUAUAUCACGAAUUGACCUUCAAACGAGAUGUGAUUCCUGAGUAAGAUCAUUGAAACUUUGACGCGCAUUCUGUAAGCUAGAUCGACGACGGUGAAGGCUACAGCAGCAUGGAGCCUGGUUCGACUUCGAUCGUCAAAUGUCAAUACCCCUUUUGAUAAGACGACCCCCUUUUAAAAGCCUGACAUGUUUCCAUAUGGAAGGAAGCUGGCUGAGUUUCUCAUUUCUCUCUGCAAUCACACAUCAAGAAGUUUCGCUGGCUUAAAGCUGUGUGCACUACUAAUCUUCCAUUCAGAAGAAAAAAAAAGAAAAAAAGGGUUGUGUGCACUAACAUAACAUCAUCAUACUCGGUGCGAUAAUAAAUGUAGUAGUUUCUAAGAUAAAUAACAUGCAACGAUACAUUUAAAGUUUGUUACUCGUUGAGAAUUACGUUUCACCAUCAACUCUAUCCAUCCAAUGAAUGCAAAAAUUAGAAAGCAGCUAGAGCAAAGGUCCAGGACCAGCAUUUACGCUGGAUUUUUGGAUGUUCCUUUCCAUAAGAAUAAGAAUCAUAGCUUGUGUUAUUUACGAUUUAGUUGGGAAUGAAUUGUUCUCAAUCUAAAUGAAAGAAAAAAUUUUACGAUAAAUUGCUUGAAAAUUGACAAUUCUAAGGCGGAGGAGUAUGAUGAAAUAAAAAAUUCAAAGAGGAGAUUAUUGAUAGCUGGGUCAUGCAUAUUAGAGACACCGCCGUUCAUAUUAUAGUUUGAUCCUAACUGGAAACUGGAAGACGUGAUGCAUCAUUGUAAGGCUAAUCAUCAAUCAACGUGCAAACAUUCUUACAAAAGUCUUGUUCAAAAUAAUUUUGAGAAGACAACUCAAAAUCUGCAACAAAAAUAACAAGGAGGAGUGUUGGAAUAUCAAUGCAAUUUCGACUGCAAAUUUCUAAUUUUAGAAUAGUUCAAUUUGAUCUGUAAAGUUUAGUUAUUGGCUGAUUAUUACAGUUGUUCCGUCAUUUAUAGUCUUCUUACUAGUUCAAUUAUCUUUGAUUUUUUUUCAGUAUUUUUGUUAAGCUUGUUCAUUAGGAGAUGCUUUUGUUAAGAUUGUUUAUCAGGAGAUGCUUGCGUUUAAUUUGUGAGGAGGGCAGAUGAUCAAUAAAAAAAUAUAUAUAUAUAUAUAUAUAUUAUAAGAAUCUCAGCCCCUCCGGGACGUUCCAGUCUAGCGACAGGCCCAAUGGGAUGGCAAACAAAAGAGUUUCGGAGAGCGUGUAGCGAGGUACAAAGCCCUUUGGGCUGUAUUGAGUGGAGCAAACCCGCAUCUCCUGGCUCAGGAAUUCUUGACGCGAGAUCUUUUCUUGGGCCGUUGCACAACGGUUGAUCGAAACUACCUUUCAAAUUGUUCAGCCCACAGGUCUCUCUUAACCCAUUCCAAAUCCAGUGUUGCUUAUUAAUUAUAUCAUUCUCUUUGAACCCACAACGAUGUUCGACCACCCAAUUGACCAUGAAACUUUGUAAAUUUGCACUAGGGAUUAUCAUCGUUCGACUUCUCUCUCAAAUAAGAAAAUAAUUAUUCCAUUUUCUUAUGUUAUCUGACGUGGAUCAGUAAUAUCAAGGUCUUAAUAUUGUUGUGACAGUUAACGUAAGGUUAGUUGAGGUAGGAGCUUUGAUGCCCUGUCUUCGACAAGUCAUUUAUAACAUUUAUUUUCAAAUUAGAGGAAAAGUAUAAUACAUACAUAGAUAUAUCCAUUGUACGAUAUUGGGUUGAACGAAAAAAGAGUUCAUUUGACCAACCAAAGAGGCAGAAGUCUGCGGCACAGAUACUUUACAUAUUCUACAGUAUUUUUGUAAAAAAGUAAAAAAAAAAAAAAGAGGAAUGUAUUACGCAUUACCAAGAUUCAAAAUGACAAAAAUGUAGUGUACCAUACGUAACAAAGAAAAGAAAAGGAGAUCGAUGGUUUCAUUGAACUCUUAAACUCUAUACAAUGGAGGAGUCGAGUACAUUUACUUGCUAAAAAACAGGUGAGCAUAAACUCGAUGGAGAAUUAGUCUUGGGGAAAAAAAAAAAGGAAACCCGCUGGGCAGAUGGGUUCAAAAUGGAGGAAUCCAAUUGGCCUAUAACAAAAUAAAAGCGCAAACCAAUUUGUAGUCCUCUCCCUGCUCUGCCCCGUUCCUUGUUAAACCGUGCAUGUGUAUGGGAUAGAAAUUCAUCAAUUAAUACUUGCUAGUUAGCAGUAGAUGAAGAUGAGAGACGUAAAUACUAGCAGUAUUGAUUAAUUAUAUAUGCAUACAUAUAUAUAUAUAAAUUUUUUUUUUUAAAGCCAAAGAGCUCCGGCUUCUUUGAGGAGGGGGACCAAUGUCCCAUUGAUAUGGGAAGCCAUGACCCUGUCCAUGGCACCCACGAGCUUCCCUCCGAUGAACACCACCGGAACAGGCGGCGAGUUCCCAAGGAGCCUGAUGAGAGCCCUCUCGAUUUCUUUGCCCCUGGGGUCUUGAUCCAGCUCGUAAACAGUCGGGUUCACUCCCAUCCCGCAAAACAGCCUCUUGACUGCAUGGCACAUGCAGCAAGUGCUCAUGCUGAAUAUCACCACCGCACUCCCCGAUGCCAGCCUCACCACCCUCUCCAACGGGUCCGCUCCUCCCAUGCUGAUGCCGUGCCUCACCCCCGCCGCCGGUGGUGCAGCUGCAUAGUAGCCCCACGACUCGGCCGCCGCCUCCUGGUAAUGCAUUCUUCUCGAUUUUGAUUACGUAUCACGCUUCGAUCUGAAGGACCUACGUGUUGUACGACAAUUAGCAAGUUAACGUGAAUACAGUAAGGGUGAGAUUUGAGAAAGAGUUCUCUUGUAAGCAGAAGCAGUACGAUGAAGUUUUUAAGGCGGGGAUCGAAUUCUAUUGUGGAUGCUGCGAUAUAUAUAUAUAUGUGUAUGUAUGUAUAUAAGGUGUGAGGAAGAGAUGGAGAAUGGAGGACGGUGGAUGGUGUGUUUAUAUAGGAGUGAGUGAAGUGCCCGUAUUUGUAGUACAGAAGAAGAAGUAGAGUAUUGAAGUAGUGAAUACUGGAAUAGUAGCAGUGUAGCAUUCGGCUUUAAGGAUUCAUUUUCAUUAUUAAUAUUAGGAGGAGUAAUACUGGAACACCGGCAUUUUGGUACAUGUGCUGGGAGAGGGAGGGCCGGGGGAGGGGGUUUGUCUGAUGUUGUCGCAACGCGUGCUCAGGGAAAUCGACCUACGUAGUCUUUUGCUCUAAAAGGAUAGGGCAAAAAAUUUGUACGCACAUUUCUUUGACCUUUUGUUGCAGUACAUACUCCUUCAGUAGAGUAGACAACACAGAGACAACGGGUCUGAAAAUGAACUUUUCUUUUGCCUUCAUUUACUAAGCAGAAGCUGGAAAAGCCGAAAAGGUGGCAGCAGCUGAAGGCGGCGACAUGGGAUACGUCUACUCUCUCUAGAGGAUUAAAACUCCCCACCCCACCCCUUCCCAAAAAAAAAGAAUGAAGAAGCACUAGGAAGCACUGGUACGUACGUCGGGGUAAGGGCUUUUUUUUUUUUAAAAAAAUUAUAACGUUAAUAUUUUUAUAAUCUAAUUUAUCUUAUCCUACGAGAAGAGGGAGUCUAAAAAGAUUAUGUAAAGACUAAUAAACAUAUAGAUUUAAUUAGACCAAAAAAAUAUUUUAUCACUUUUUUUACAUUUUUUCAGAGUAUAUAAGAUUUGAAUUUCCGAUCUACAGUUCAAAAAUGGACUUAACCUCUUUUUGAUGUUCACUGAACCAAAAAUUAUGUAAAGACUAAUAAAUAUAUACAUUUGAUCAGAUCAAAAAGAUAUUUUGAUACUUCGUUUGUAUUUUUUUAAUACAAAUGAGAUUUAAACUUCCGACCUAACCUACAGUUAAAAUAUGGACUUAACCAACUCCUUGGCUAGGGACUUAUUUGGUUCCGGGGACUUUGUACAAGAGUGAUUUUUUAGAGGCUAGGGAGACAUGAAAGCAGGCUUUUUCAGUGAAACCUACACGGCUGCUGCGAGGUAUGUUAGUUCGUUUAAAGAAAGAAAGAAAAAGAGAAAGAUAGAGAGAGGUGAAGAACAAAGAGAGGGGAAUGGAAUGACUCGGAUUUUUUUUUUCUUUUUUAAAAUAGACGGCUGUCUCUGUCCUUGUUGUCGGGGCUUUGCUCUGCUGUUGUGGGCAGCACUAUUAAUUAAUAAAUACUAGUACUCCUAGUAUUAUUGCUUCCUAUCGCAUUUUGCUUUAUGACGUGACCUUAAUAGGACGCUGCCCUUCCCCGAACCCACCCCCUGCCCCCUCCGGCCCUCCCCUACCCCAGUCGUUUCUGUAUUAAUUAACUUUGAUGCUUUAAUCUAGAUAAACAAUUAAGACUAUGGUGCAACGUUCUUAAAGAUAUGGUAGUUACUAACUAGUCUAACUUAAUUGCUAGCAUGUGCGUGUGUGUGUGUGCAUGUGCGUGUUUGUUUUUUUCUAUUAAUCUUCAUUUUGACUGUGAUUAUGUUAAAAUUAGCAAGGCCAUGCCAAUACUAAAGAUUGCUAGCAGAUUGGGAUUUGGGUUCUGAUUUUCUUGGUAUGUGGAAAUUGACUGAGUCAGUUUUCGCUCUAAUUUUCAUUUCCACACUUAGUAUAGACUAUAGAGGCGAGUAGUUUAUCAUCAGUGAAUACAGUGUAGAGAUGUUUGCGGAACAUCAGACGAUAGUUAGUUAAGUCAGUCAGAAACAAGUAACUAUAUAUACAUGGUUAGGCACCACCAUUUUUCGUAGAGAUGCUCAAUUCAUUGGUACAUGCUGAAUUUAUUAGAACAUGUAACGCAUCUAAAUCGACAGUGACGAUCCUUAAUAUGUUUCUACACACACACAUAUAUAUAUAUAUGGGAUAUCAAUAGUUUUCGUCUGUUUACUCUUUAACCUUUUAAUUAUUGUAAAAAUUUAUGUGGAUAACCUUUUGCUUCUCUCGACGGAGGAGAUGUAAUGCCACAAUGCAUCAUGUUGGAAUAAUGAGGACUGGAGAGAAAGACGGUCCAUUGUUCUGUUCUUUCGACAAAUUCAUCAAAGAACACAGUGUAAUAUUACGAUAACACUACUAUAACGACAUCCCUCUAGCAUUAUAGUAAUAUUUUGUCUUAAGUACUAGUAGUAUCAGUUUUUUUAUUUUUUUUUGGGGGGGGGGGGGGGGGGGGGGUUGUGUAUGUGUGUGUGGUAAGUGGUAAGUGGUAAGGAUCAAGGCUUUUAGUGAGUGAGUUGCUAGUCCGAAGUUGUUUUUGGGCAAAUAAGGUACUCACACGGCUAAAAGUAGAAAAAAAAGGUGGUGGGCAAAAAUUGGCCGUGAUUAAGGCUUUGGAGCAUAUAUAUGCACGAUGUUGUACUCACUUCUACGGGUCACGAUGUUGUACUCACUUCUACGGGUGUAAAUUAACAUAAUUCUUUUUUAGACUCGCGAAUAGUUCGAUUAAAGGUUCGACUCGAGCUCAUAGUUGGUCGAGAUCAAAUUACUUGAUAAAGUAAUUGAGUUGAGUUCAAAUCGAAAAAAUCAAAAUUCAAGUACUCGUCAAGCUUUUAUCAAGUAGCGCAUUUAUAAGUAGAAAAAAAAAUCAAAACUCAAAUGCUCGUCGAGUUUUAUUAAAUAGUAUAUUUAUAAGUUAAAAAAAUCAAAAUUCAAGUACUCGUUGAAUUUUAUCAAAUAGUGUAUUUAUAAUAUACUGGUUUUUAAUUAUUUAUUAUAAAAUUAUGAAAUUUAGUGAAAAACUAGUUUGAAAACUUAAUUGAGCUAGAUUAAGCUCGUUUGAGCUCAAUUACACUCGAUUGAGUGCGAUUUGAUUGAGUUCAACUAAGAUAUAAAUAUAUAUAUAUGUCCAAAUUUGAAUUUAAACUCAACGAGUUUGGGCUCGAACACGAACAUUCUUAUUCAAGUAUACGAGUGGUGAACAAAUCCAACCGGACUCAACUCGAUAACAAAUCUACUUGAUAUAUUAAUGAUGUCAUUCCAUGAGGACGUAGUGAGCACGCACCCGAGCGCACAGUGGCAGCCGUGACUCCUGAUGUCACUAACGAGUUUGGGAAUGAGUUUUAACUUAAAAACGAAGUGCAAAUUAUGAAAUUGUUACAUACUCGUGGUAGUAAUGAACGUUGGAGUAAUAUCGCGCGAGCGACAUGCAGGCAGCAAAAGUGAAUCCUUUUACCCUUUUGGCAGAGGCAAUAAACGAAGAGUAAACCAGCCCCUCCCCUCAUGAGUAUCAUAACAUUUUUUUGCCGCAGCAUAUAUAACAAAAGUGUUGACUGCUGAUAGAAAAAGAAAAAAGAGCAAAGAAUGGGCAAAACAUAAAGAGCAAGAGCAGUAGAAGGAAUUAAUGGGCAUGUCCACCUAAAGAAGCGACAAUGGGUGGGCAGUUCCAAGGAGAAAAAAGGGAGUUGCGCGUGCACAUGACUGAAGCAUUGGCAGUCGGGCGGCGGGCCGGUGGGGGAGCGUAAGUACGGAUGCGGCGAAAACCGGCGAAAGCAUGGGGACCCAUUUCCUUCUUCCUCCGACCGCAAACUAAUCUUCCCUCACUUUUUUGUCCCUGGAGCUGGGAUCAUCAUUUCUUAUUCCUUUCUUUCUUUUUAAUUCUAAUCUUCCAUCGUGAUCAUAAUCUAAUUUGACUGCCACCUGCAGGCAUCAGCAUGCACGCAUCACAUCUCUCUCUCUCUCUCUCUCUCUCUCCCGAGUGUUGACCGACGAACAGCUUACCCAAAAGAAAGAAAGCAAGAAAGAAAGAAGGACAUGAAUCCCUUUAAAGCAUGUGAUCUUGUAAAUCUGAUGUCAUGCUCCCAAUCCUCCCAUGUUUCUGAUUCUCUUGCAGGCAAGGAUUUAUUUACUCGUACUGUUUUAUUUCUUCUUUUCUCUCAUCCUCUUUUCUUUUGUCGUACGUUACCAUGCGGCCUCUUCUUUAUUGUUUGCUUUCACUUUCGUUUUGGGCUUUGUUGUUUCUUUUUGGGGUAGCCAUUGUCCCUCGUCAACAAAAGCUAAGGUCUCAUCCACCCACAUGCCAUUGGGCGUCUAUCUUAAAUAACUACUUUUUCACACAAGCACAGAUCGAUUGUGGAUCCGUAAUUGGGCUGGCCAAGUAUCGCGCUUCCCUUGCCAUUUCAUCUUUGCCCCUGGCUCCGCCGGCAUUUUGUUCAUCUUGACGUCUUACUAACUUAGAUAUUUUUCUUCUAAUUAGGGAUUUAUCUUUUCUAUACUGUUCAUGUAAACACUGACAGAUUCAAAUAUAUAUAUAUAUAUAUAUUACAUCAUCUUAGUUUAAAUUUAUAUAUCAAACUUAAUUUACAUGUGUGUUAUGCGUAGAUGAACCCCGUUGGCAUAAUUUGUGUUCUUCUAAUUAUCAUAUAUGGUUGAUUGUUCUUUUUCUUGGAAGCUUCUAAAUCUGAUGGUUUUCGGUGCUGAAUGCAGGUAUGUUUGAUGUUUUAGCCCAUAUUGAAAAAGAUGUUACAGGCCUAUUUACUUGGAUUAAUGAGAGUGAUGGUAAGCUGAUUGCGAAUCCGCAGAUGGUUAAGUUGCAUUCAUUUGAUCCCGAGGCAGGGACUGCGAUGUAGCAUCAGUUUGAAUAGAACCUUAAUUUGUUGAAAGUUCUGCAGAUAAGUCUGAGGUUUAUUCUCUUCAAAUGCAGAUACACUUUGGUAUCAUACAAGAAUGAUAAAUGGGACGAGCCAUGAAGUUUUUUUUUUUUUUUUUUUUUUUGACACAGGGGUGUCCGGUCAAUUCUUACGGGGCCCGACUACUCCCCUGCGACCCGAGCCCGGCGCCCCAACCCGAUCAAGGCACGAUAAGUGUACAGGCGUCCCCAUAGCACAGUUUUGAACCCGGGACCUGAAGGUCCCAAGGGAAUGCUGCUACCAUGUGGCUAAACCCGUGGGGGCUGAGCCAUGAAGUUCAAGGUUGUGUUGUUUGAGUCCUCGUUUUUAUGCAAUUGCGAACUAAUAGUUGUUGUGAUUUGAUUCACAUUUUGUUAGACAGUGAUGCAAUUUGCGAAAGAACGCAAUGCAAAUUGAAUUUCACCGUAGUAUAAAGAAAAUUCUACACAUACCAUUUAUUUAUAAGAUAAAUACAAACCAAAAGAUUAGUUCACUUCCUGAUGUCUAAAAAUUCACAUAUACGUAUCUAUCGUUUAGUUACAUCAUGUUUUUAAAAUUAUUUUUUGAUAGAUGGAUUCGUCGUCCAGACAUAAUCUCAGUCGGCACCUCCUAGCAUUGCGUUUCAUAUGGAUUUCAGAUGAAAUCGUGUUUUCCCUACAUGAAAAUUUUUUCAUUUACAUCCAUUUAAGAAUUAAACAACGUGAGACGCUCCAAGUUUACUAUCUCUAUAAUCUCAUUCCAAAUCUACCCUUGUGUCAUCUCAUUCUUUAGUACAAAAACAUGAGUAUAUUGACAGCAAAAAUAAAAGGCAUGAAGGUUUAAUUCUAAUAAGACAAAAUAUAACAUGUUUUUUAAAUAUAAAGAGUUAAUGAGGUUUUUGCAAGUUAUAAAAUGUUAUUUUCUUUAUUAUAAAGUGUUUUUAGUUAAUUUAAAAAGUAUUAUAAAUAGUUUACUUUUUUUUUUUUGAAUUUCUAAUUUUGUCAUCCAAGUAAACAACUGAAAAAUAGAAAUACACAAAAUGUUAAAAAUUACAUAUAAACUUUUCCUUUUAAAAUAAACUGCAAGAUUUUAUUGAUAGAGAACUGAAGCAUUUACAUAGUAACAGAGGCUACCUAUACAUCAAUGAAGCUUUACAAAUAUUUACAGCCCAAAAAUGUAUACAACUCAUCAAAAUCUAUCAAAGCCCUUAUGGGCCAAGCUUUCCUGAGUCCUUUGGCACACUUCCAUGAAGCACCAAUAUAUUGGGUAAUGGGUGGUAUCAAUAAUCUAACCUACUAUAGCCACAGUUUGUACGUGUUCUCAAAUUGGUACAAAAAGUUAGAUUCUUGUACAAUAUCUCAAAUUAUUUUUAUUAGUAUUUUAUAAUUUUAAAUAUUUCCAUAUUUCUUACCAAACCAAUGACACAAGAAUUAUCAAAAGGUCUUUCGACCACAUUUUUAACUUUAAAUUUCUAUUAAAGAACCACACUGACCAAGUUUACUUAAAAAAUAAAAUUGGCAUGUUACAAUAAUUAAGAGAUCAUAAGAAGAGGGUAAAUCUGGUAUUAUCUUUCCAAGAUAUACACAAAAAAAUUACCCUCAGAAGGGGGAGGGAGGGGGGUGCGGCAAUGGUGGUUAUGGGUGGUAGUAUUAAUUUUUAAAAAGUACUCUAAAAACAUUUUAAUUUUAAAAGGUACCCCAAAAAAUAUUUCAAAAAUCCCUCUAAAAAUUACAAAAAACAUCUACAAGUAAAAAUUUUUCAUAUAUACCUGCUGCUGCAAUAAAAUAUUUCAAAAUACCCCCAAAAAUAGUUAAACCAAACAUACCCGAAAUUUGUAGUAAAAAAAGAUUUGGUAUAUUUUGUUUCUUAUUUAUUUGUAACCUAUAAUGGAUUUAUUAAUUUAAUUUUGAUUUUUUACUAUUGACUGUUAUUUUAACGAGAAAAAUAACGUUGAAACUUUAACCCAAGCCAUGGGAAAGUUAUGCAUUAAAGCAUCAAACCAUAGAAAGGUAAGUGUCAAUUUACCCUUUUUUUUAAGACUAGUUCCAACAAUAACAAAAACAAGGUCAUGAUCCGAAAAGUGCAUCAACCAGGAGGCAUUGCAUAGACUCUGUGCAAACAAUACAACAAAAAAUUUCCUAACUAUGGGACAAAAACGUGUUAGAUCCCUAGCUAUAUCCGAUUACAAUAAGAAGAAAUGCACACAAAAAUAAACUUUUUUUUUUGGGGUGGGGAACCAAAAUAGUGAAGAAGAAGGAAGAAGGGAGCAAGAGUCUUGCUUUGGUUUAAGAAUUACUAUCUCCUCCUGCCCAUGGAGGUAGGAUUGCCAUCAAAAAGUUCUUCAAUUAAGGCCUCAAUGUCUUCGGGCUGAUACUUAAUGUACUUCUCAACUUGCUUGGAACUAUCUAAAUACUGUCUAAACUUGCCUAAGAAAGAGCGGUAAGCGGGUAUAACCACCGCGGCCACGGAGAGUCUUAGCUCCGUACGAAGCUGGUCGUCGCUAACCACCCACGUACUCUGUAACUUGUGUAUCUCCUCCAACAUUGUAUUGAAAUUCUUGAACCUCUCCUUCAACGUUGGCUUGUUCACUUUCCCGUUAACUAUCAACCCCUCGUGGCUCAAGCUGUGCAAUAAUCUCACCCACGAUUCCCUUUGGUAGUUCUUGUGAAACUGCCGCACGACAGUUGAUCUUCUCCUACACCAAUUGUCGCCCAUCACUUGGUGAAUCUCAGUGGACCCCUUCGCCUUCUGCAGUAUGUACCUCCCAUUAUUCAUCAAGAAUAUGUAACGCAAAGAAGGGUCCUUGUACAGCAACGACUUGGCUUCCAGAUUCGCGUCCAAAAGAUCCAUAACUGUCACUACCUGCACCGAGAACCGGGUCGUACUCGCCUCGUGUUCCAAAUUGUGCGGGCUGCUCUCCCCCUCGCUUUCUUCAUGUUUUGUAUAUUUAGCCGGACGCGAAUCACAUAAAGAAUGAUUUUGAUCCAAUCCUGCUUGCUUUUCAAAGAUUUUCUCCAGCGUGCCUUUGUACUCGCAUGCAUACUUGAGAUAAUUCAGCACGUAACGAGUAAGCGGGUGCACUGCCCCACCUGGGACCGCAGUCUUGGCGACGUCGUUCUUGAUGGAAUUCUCCAAAUCCAGAAAUAUGUUGAUGGCUGCCUCGCCAAGGCGGCCAGCAGCGGCGGAGACCUCUGACCUCAAUUCGUGCUCGCAGCAAUCAUCGUCGGUGAUUAUGGAGGGUAUGAGAUCGAGAAGCGUCUCGUACAUGUCGAGGAAUUUGAAGAGCUUCUCUGCG